CCUGAGCCGGGUCCUUCAGAGCCAGCCUGCCAUCCUGAUCCAGAGAAGGAUCUGUACUGGAUCCUGCUGCUCACUCUGUGUCCUGGCUGUGCUGUCCUCUCCUCCAUCCUCUCCUCCAUCCUGGUCUACCACUACUGCUGCAGGACGACCGCUUCAAAGGAACCUCAAGGAGAUCGCAGGACUGACACCAGGAGGAGAGAGAGCAGAGUGCAGCAGGAAGGAGACCAGUGUUACGCUGCGCUGGAUUUCCCCCGGGGACAGAGGAGACCACAGAAGAAGAGGACUCAGAGCUCUGACUUCAGUACCUACUCAGCCAUCAAGACUAGUUUGGUGUGAGGAGAGGACGCUGUACGUGCAGCACCACACAUGGCCACAAGGGGGAGUGGGAGGAAACAUAAAACGAUUUGUUGAAAUGUUUGAUUUGAAAUGUUUACAAAAAAACUAGUUGGCUUAUUGAGAUAUACAUUGCUUUUUUUGAUCCAAAUGACUGAGUCAAUAAGAAUUCGUACAAUUACUUUUUAUAGUGUGUAUAAAUAUAAGUGUAAGAAUACAGUGUUAUGAUCAGCUACACCUGUUACAAUAAAUGACAC
Molecule: long non-coding RNA, 590 nt
Organism: Osmerus eperlanus (European smelt)
Lineage: Eukaryota; Metazoa; Chordata; Actinopteri; Osmeriformes; Osmeridae
Exons: 3
Source: RefSeq, a predicted model, not a curated record